Molecule: ribosomal RNA, 379 nt
Filed under: uncultured cyanobacterium
Lineage: Bacteria; Bacillati; Cyanobacteriota
Description: bacterial SSU rRNA
Rfam family: Bacterial small subunit ribosomal RNA
Source: RNAcentral
CGAAAGCCUGACGGAGCAAGACCGCGUGAGGGAGGAAGGCUCUAGGGUUGUAAACCUCUUUUAUCAGGGAAGAAGCUCUGACGGUACCUGAGGAAUCAGCAUCGGCUAACCCCGUGCCAGCAGCCGCGGUAAGACGGAGGAUGCAAGCGUUAUCCGGAAUUAUUGGGCGUAAAGCGUCCGCAGGUGGUUUUACAAGUCUGCUGUUAAAGCGCAGGGCUCAACCUUGUAUAGGCAGUGGAAACUGUAAGACUAGAGUUCGGUAGGGGUAGAGGGAAUUCCCGGUGUAGCGGUGAAAUGCGUAGAUAUCGGGAAGAACACCAGUGGCGAAAGCGCUCUACUGGGCCUGAACUGACACUGAGGGACGAAAGCUAGGGGAGCG